AGAGUUUGAUCAUGGCUCAGGAUGAACGCUAGCGGCAGGCUUAAUACAUGCAAGUUGAGGGGCAGCGCAGUGUAGCAAUACAUGGGCGGCGACCGGCAAACGGGUGCGGAACACGUACAGAACCUUCCUUCGAGCGGGGAAUAGCCCAGAGAAAUUUGGAUUAAUACCCCAUAGUAUUGCAGAGUGGCAUCACUUUGCAAUUAAAGAUUUAUCACUUGAAGAUGGCUGUGCGGCUGAUUAGGUAGUUGGCGGGGUAACGGCCCACCAAGCCUGCGAUCAGUAACUGGUGUGAGAGCACGACCAGUCACACGGGCACUGAGACACGGGCCCGACUCCUACGGGAGGCAGCAGUAAGGAAUAUUGGUCAAUGGACGCAAGUCUGAACCAGCCAUGCCGCGUGGAGGAUGAAGGUCCUCUGGAUUGUAAACUUCUUUUAUUUGGGACGAAAAAGGGUCUUUCUAGAUCAACUGACGGUACCAGAUAAUAGACC
Molecule: ribosomal RNA, 490 nt
Filed under: uncultured Niastella sp.
Lineage: Bacteria; Pseudomonadati; Bacteroidota; Chitinophagia; Chitinophagales; Chitinophagaceae
Description: bacterial SSU rRNA
Rfam family: Bacterial small subunit ribosomal RNA
Source: RNAcentral